Molecule: non-coding RNA, 25 nt
Filed under: Gossypium hirsutum (cotton)
Lineage: Eukaryota; Viridiplantae; Streptophyta; Magnoliopsida; Malvales; Malvaceae
Source: RNAcentral
ACGAAAUGUUGCAGGCCUGUGAAAC